This 254-nucleotide ribosomal RNA is filed under the name uncultured bacterium. RNAcentral describes it as "partial 16S ribosomal RNA". It matches the Rfam family "Bacterial small subunit ribosomal RNA", at positions 524 to 776 of the family's 1533-position model. The record is from RNAcentral.
UACGUAGGGUGCGAGCGUUAAUCGGAAUUACUGGGCGUAAAGAGCGCGCAGGCGGUCGAUCAAGUCGCGUGUGAAAGCCCCCGGCUCAACUGGGGAGGGUCACGCGAUACUGAUCGACUCGAAGGCAGGAGAGGGUAGUGGAAUUCCCGGUGUAGUGGUGAAAUGCGUAGAUAUCGGGAGGAACACCAGUGGCGAAGGCGACUACCUGGCCUGUUUCUUGACGCUGAGGCGCGAAAGCUAGGGGAGCAAACGGG